UCUCCACUACAGCUUUGCUCCUUUGUCUGUCUGUCCAUCUCCCCUGGCCUGGCGCUGCUGAAAUUUCCUCGAUCCAUAGACAUGUCUGCAAGUUCUUUGCGGAAUAGGAUCGUUGACCCGUAGACAAGGGUGAGCUGAGUCGUCGGAAAUUGCAAUAGUCUUGCAUUUUUUUUAGCUGGGGGAGGAAUAAUCUUGAUUCUUCAAGUUGAGCUGGGCGAGGAAUAAUCUUCAUGCUCACAAGUCACUGAUUUGUAGCGAUUUAGAGAAGUUGCAGUAAAUCUGAAUUACUCCAGUGUGCAGAUUUGCAGUAAACUUUAUUACUCCAGUGUGGAUUUGCACUGAUUUGGAGUAGCUUUGAUGCAGUAGGCUUUUCAGUUUUUAGUAACAUCUGUGUUUUAGGCCCUCUGUUACGAAUUGUUGUGAGGAUAUGAGUAUGCAGUAGUGUGCAGAUUUGCACUGAUGAGAAAUGCAGUGACCAACACAAAUUUUGGAGUAGCUUGUUUGAUCUACAGUUGGGAAGGAGAUUAAUAGAGGUACUGUCAGUAGUUUGUGUUAAUCUUGGGCUGCUGCUGUCAGUAUCUUGUGUUAAUUUUGGUGCAGUAGCUGCUGCUACUGCUUGUUUGAUCUACAGUUGGAGUACUCCUGUAACAACUUGUUUGAUCUAGAAGGAGUAGUUUUCUGACUUCUUAGAAUUAUCUCUCUUGCAACAACUUGUUUAUCCUUUCACUCAUAUCCUCACAACAACGUUUUCACCUGUAUAUUGGGUGGUUGCAGCCAUCAAUGACCCUGCUAACCGAAAGAACUGCAGCAGACCCUACUAACUGAAAGAACUGCAGCCAUUAAUUAAGAUAAUCUGAAACCUUUUCUUUUAAUUAACUUAAAACUUCCAGUAAAAUUAAGAUAAACUAAAACCAUUUCUUUCAAUUAACGUAAAAUUAUCUGAACCAUUUGUCCUCUCUUACUCUCUUCUUUUUCAGUAAAGUGUAGGAGUAAAAUAAAAUGAAACCUUUUCCUUUAACUAACUUAAAAUCUUUUUGCAUCAAGGUUGACCCCGUCUCCUCUUUGAUGGAACAUAUUCUUCUUCUUCUUCUCUUUGAACAAGACCUUUGAACUUGAUAACCGGCCGGCCGGAGUAGAUUGGUUGAAUUUGGGUGUGUGGUAACUGCAGCUUGUUUUCCUCUCACCAUGGGGCUGGGUAAACUGCAGUUAUUAGUUAAACUUCCCUGAUUUGUUUUCUUCUCGAUUUGGCCAGAUGGAUCAAAUGUACUGAAACUUUGCUUAUUCUCAUGAAGCAGCUGUAGCUUCUUUUGAAAGUUGUCGUAUGUAGCUUGUGUUAAUUUGUCUACUGAAACUUGGGCUACUGAAGCUUGUUAACUUGCAUAAUAUUGUGAACUUAAUUGUUGCUUGCAUAUUAAUGACAGUAAAAUCAUGAUAUGAGUAGUUUCUGUAAAAUCAUGACAUGCCAUACAAGCUACUCAAACUCAGGAGUAGUUUCAGUAAAAUCUAUUCUAUGGACUUGCUGUUUAGUUUUAUUUAAAAUUAGGAGUAGGAGUAGCUCUUGGAGUAGGAGUAGGAGUAGUUCUUGGAGUAUGAGUAGGAGUAGGAGUAGUUCUUGGUUAAUUAAACCUUUUCAUUUAAUUAAAACUAAACUGAACUACUCUUCUCCUCUCCUCUCGUCUCUUUCAUUUGUCUUCUCUUUCUCUUUUGCCCUCUUACAAUAGUGCAACAAUAUGAGACCUAAAUCAAAUGAAACCAAAUGAAACUUUCACUAAUGGAGUACUCCUAUUUCUCUCUUCUUUUCUCUUCUUUCUUUCUUCUUGGAGUGCUUGAUUAUCUUCCAGUUCUCUCUCUCUCUCUCUCUCUGUGUGUGUGUGUGUGUGUGUGUUGCCCUCUCUUCUUACUUUCUCUCUCUUCCAGUGCCCUCUCUUCUUCUCUCUUAAUUAAACAAAAAUGAUCACACAAAUGAUGCACUCCUCACAAAAUUAAAUUAAACUUUUCAAACAAAAAUGAUCAUAUAUAUGGAGUAAAAUCCAGUCCAUAGAAGCCUUUUGCAAACAUAUGGAGUAAUUUCACAAGGGGUUUACAUAUACUGCACACAAACAAGGAGUUACACACAUACUCCACACAAAUAAUCACAAGCAUCUUAACAAGCAACUCCUCCAGCAUCUCAACAAGCAUCUCGACAAGCAACUCAACAAGCAUCUCCUCAAGCAUCUGAACUAGCAUCUCGACAAGCAACUCCUCAAGCAUCUCAACAAGCAUCUCCUCAAGCAUCUCAACAAGAAACUUCUCAAGCAUCUCCUCAAGCAUCUCGACAAGCAACUCCUCAAGCAUCUAAACUAGCAUCUCGACAAGCAACUCCUCAAGCAUCUCAACAAGCAUCUCGACAAGCAACUCCUCAAGCAUCUCAACAAGCAUCUCCUCAAGCAUCUCAACAAGAAACUUCUCAAGCAUCUCCUCAAGCAUCUCGACAAGCAACUCCUCAAGCAUCUAAACUAGCAUCUCGACAAGCAACUCCUCAAGCAUCUCAACAAGCAUCUCGACGAGCAACUCCUCAAGCAUCUCGACAAGCAUCUCCUCAAGCAUCUCAACAAGUAUCUCGACAAGCAACUCCUCAAGCAUCUCAACAAGCAACUCGACAAGCAUCUCGACAAGCAACUCCUCAAGCAUCUCAACAAGCAUCUCGACGAGCAUCUCAACAAGCAUCUCGACAAGCAACUCAACAAGCAUCUCCUCAAGCAUCUGAACUAGCAUCUCGACAAGCAACUCAACAAGCAACUCUCUCCAUUAUCCCAAGAUUGUGCAGGGCAUUUGCAUAUACCUCUUGAGGGCAUGUGGGGUGUAGUUGAGGUCUGGGAGAUCCAUGUUCUCCAGGCAACUAAAAAGAACUUUCAAGAUUGUUUUAAAGAAGGGCUAUUGAAAAAAGAUGUGUGAGGGCAUCAGUCACUCUCAUGCCGGCAUGCCGCACUUUCAGCUAGCAGGUUGGUAUCUCAACAUUUCUCCAUUCAAGUCAUUUCCCAUAGUGUUUUUUUCGAAGCACUAACUGCAAAUUUGCAUACUAAUAAUGACCGGAGUAUUUUAUUUACAUCAAAUUAUGUCAAACACUUUAGAUUGUUCAGUCAUACCAUAGUGUUUAAAAGUUUGGACAUUCUGAAGAUUCAAAUAAAAAUAGCCAUGUGCACAGUUUACUUGAUCAUGUCAAGUUACAGGUGAAAGAGACCCUCUUAUGGGAAUAAUGGAGUACAGAAAUGAUAGUGAGUUCAAAGUAAGGCUGAGGUAAAAUUUUCGGAGGCCAUGCUCUAUGUUUUACCACUACCCUUCUUGGUAUUCAUGCUCCUGAUAUUCAUACUCCUAUUCCUACUCAAUUUUACCUGAAAUGAGAGUAGCAAUUAUUUUUGCCCAUUAAUUCAUACUCCUACUGAUUUGGAGUACUGAUGAAACUAAGAAGUCCAAACCUGUGUUAAAUUGACAGUACAUGCUCAUUUUUUGUAUUGACAGUACAAGUCCAAACUUGUAUUGACAGUACAUGUUCUACUCAGUGUUCAUCUUUCAGUGUUCAAUAUCACUGUUCAGUUUCAGUGUUAAAUUUCAGUAUUACUCCAAGAUUGUACUACAUGCAAUUAUUCAAAUUAUUUAAGACAGAUGAUUACAUCAAGUUUAUGAUCAUCAAAUUGUUUACUCGGAUGAUGCAGAGGGAGUAAUGGGCGAGGAGAUGAACCUAGGAGAGCAAAAUUGAGAACUCCAGCUAAAGCAGCUCCUGCCCAGCGGCGAGGACUUCAGCGGCAGCAGCACCUGUGCAUGGGGAGGAACAGCCCUUGGGCGCGCGUAGGCAGCAGCUCGCCUCCACUAGCGGGCGGCAGCAGAGCACCAGCUCGCCUCCACCAGCGGCCGGCAGUAGAUCAGCACCUCGUCUCCACCAGCGGGCGGCAGCAGAGCACCACCUGGGCGCGCGGGGGCCGGGAGGAGCCCCUGGCGUGGGAGAGGAGCGCGGGGGUGGAGGGCAGGUGGCGGAGCCGCGGAGGCGGAGGUGGAGUGCCGGGGCGGAGGUGGAGGGCGGGUGGCAGAGCCGCGGAGGCGGAGGUGGAGUGCCGGGGCGGAGGCGGAGGUGGAAGACGCUGAGGAAGAUGACGGACAGAUUCAAAGUUUGAACUGGGGGCAUAAAGGUCCAUUUGCCCAUUUUCACCUGGUCGGAACAUAUUCCCCAGCGACAUACAUUUCGGAACAGAGGGAG
Molecule: RNA transcript, 4231 nt
Organism: Triticum aestivum (bread wheat)
Lineage: Eukaryota; Viridiplantae; Streptophyta; Magnoliopsida; Poales; Poaceae
Gene name: cilia- and flagella-associated protein 99-like
Exons: 3
Source: RefSeq, a predicted model, not a curated record